UUCAUUCACAAAUUUCAGUAGAAUUUUCCUCUCAAGCUUUAUUCAGAAACAUGAAAGAAUAAACGCUAGGAGCCAAAAGAAAGUGACCAUUCCAAACUCAGAAGAAAAUAUUUAGAAAUCUUUCUUGCCCUGGGAUGCUGUCCAUUUUCAAGUCUUUGUCAAAACAUAACAGUCAGUGGUUGAGUCUCUUGGAAACCUCUGCGGGCAUCACUCCGUCCAUAGCUGCCAUCAGUCCAUCUGUCCCCAAAUAUGUUUUCUGCUUUAGACUUCUGUGCCGAGGAGAGCUGCCAAGAUUCUUCUUGUCCUCACUGGUUCUCCUCAUGUGACCCCUCCCUCCUCUCUCUCUCUCUCUCUCCACUUGUCUUUGAACUUCCUCCUCUGUGGAUAACUGCUUUCAUUUGUAGCUGCUUUGGAUUGAGGGAAAGCUGUGCCCAGGACAAUAAGAAAACAAGAAGGACUGCGAGUGCUUCGCAUGUGUGGCAGCUCUCUUGCUGUCCACUGUGGGUCUUCUCGUCCUUCGGGGUGGCUUUCCAGAGAAAAUGGCAAUCUAAGGGGACAACCCUGUGUCAGACUUAGAUGCUGGUCUUUGCUUAUGGUACCCAGUCUGCAUCUCACACGGAUUCGUCCAGGGCUGCCUGAAGAAGUGGUCCAGGUGAAAUGCGAUGUCUGCGUGUGACACCAUCAUCUCGUCCAUUCUCGCCUGCUUCCUAACGAUCACAUGUGGUGCUGAACAUGAGAACGCUAACAGCUGAAAGAUGGCGGCUUUCUGUUCCCUGUCCUCAUUUUCAUCCCAGAUGCUUGGCUCUUUCAGAACCUCACUAUGUAGCUUUGGCUGGCCUUGAGCUCACAGACCAUUCCUUCUUCUGCGCACUGGAAUUAAGGGCCUGCACCACCUGGCCUGGCUUCAUGUUCUUGCAGCUAAUGACGACAGCAUGCGGCUCUGUUGACAGUGUAUUCAGCAUCGAAUUUAACACCAAAAGAAAGGUGAGGAAAAUGAAGCAGAGAGAACUGAAAUAGCUCUCCCAAGACUGUGAGGCUGAGAAGUGCCUGGGGGUCUUGAAGUCCAGCACCAAUCCUGUAGAUCACUGUUCUGACUUCCUGCUGCCUAAAUCGGACAAGUCAAAAGAUUCCCGGGGAAUUUUACAUGCAAAGGACACUUUAUGUUGCAGCCAGAGCUUCAAAUAUGUUAUGACUUAGCUAGACACUGGGACAGAAGGUGAUCUGUAAGUUGAAGGUGGCAUUUUCUCUGCCAGAUAAUUUCUCCCCAUAGCCUGUUACACGAAUUCCUAAUAGGUCUUAUAAUAAAAAUCCCAGAGUCAGAUAUUGCGGUGAAUGCUGAAAGAUCAGAGGAAACAAAGGAACAAGCCACAGCCAUGUCUCACCUUGCCAACUCCAUGAAUCCUCUGACUGAAUGUCUCUGAGUCCUCAGCCAAAAGGGGGUCCAGCCGAAAAGAGCUUCAGCCGAAAAGCCUAGUUCCUGUCUCCUCAUGCCCUACAUACCUUUCUCCGUCCAGCCAUAUCACUUCCUUCCUAGUGCUGGGAUUAAAGGCGUGUGACUCCA
Molecule: long non-coding RNA, 1561 nt
Organism: Peromyscus californicus insignis
Lineage: Eukaryota; Metazoa; Chordata; Mammalia; Rodentia; Cricetidae
Exons: 5
Source: RefSeq, a predicted model, not a curated record